This is a long non-coding RNA of Agrilus planipennis (emerald ash borer), 519 nucleotides long. RefSeq lists it as uncharacterized. The transcript is spliced from 4 exons. Lineage: Eukaryota; Metazoa; Arthropoda; Insecta; Coleoptera; Buprestidae. The record is from RefSeq and is a predicted model, not a curated record.
AGGGUAUGAAAUGUCGAGCGCGAGCGACACCUAAGUUUACCCCACGUAAGUUUUUAAAUUUUUUAAAUUGCCAAAAUCGACAUUACCGACAUAGUAGGCGACAUACAUUUUACUGAAACGACAACAGAUGAUGCGACGGCGGUUGCGAUUAUCGGAGGAAUUCCCCAGUAGUUGUGGCGUUAUUGAGCAAUAGUGAGUAGUUUCACAACUUGUAAUGUUUUAAAAUUUUUGAGAAAAGUACUUUUACCUAUCCUGAAAAAAAACCGUGAUGUACAGUCUACACUAUUACGGGGUCAAAUUAAUUUGAAAUAGAUUAUACAGCUCCUGCAGGAGUUAAAGGUCAAGAAGCCGCUUUCCAUUUUCCUGAAGUAACAGCGGUUUCAACGAAAGUGGCAGAACUUCUUCUGGUAGAGGAAUAGAAGCAGACGGAAUUGCCCCAUUAAAAGAUGAAAAAGUACUGCAUCCAGUGAAAACAUAUGACGGGAAAAGAAGAAUUGUUUCAACUGCAGAAAGUACACU